Molecule: ribosomal RNA, 429 nt
Filed under: Chloroflexota bacterium
Lineage: Bacteria; Bacillati; Chloroflexota
Description: Chloroflexi bacterium partial 16S ribosomal RNA
Rfam family: Bacterial small subunit ribosomal RNA
Source: RNAcentral
UGGGAAAUAUUGCACAAUGGGCGCAAGCCUGAUGCAGCCAUGCCGCGUGUGUGAAGAAGGCCUUCGGGUUGUAAAGCACUUUCAGCGGGGAGGAAGGCGUUAAGGUUAAUAACCUUGGCGAUUGACGUUACCCGCAGAAGAAGCACCGGCUAACUCCGUGCCAGCAGCCGCGGUAAUACGGAGGGUGCAAGCGUUAAUCGGAAUUACUGGGCGUAAAGCGCACGCAGGCGGUCUGUCAAGUCGGAUGUGAAAUCCCCGGGCUCAACCUGGGAACUGCAUUCGAAACUGGCAGGCUAGAGUCUUGUAGAGGGGGGUAGAAUUCCAGGUGUAGCGGUGAAAUGCGUAGAGAUCUGGAGGAAUACCGGUGGCGAAGGCGGCCCCCUGGACAAAGACUGACGCUCAGGUGCGAAAGCGUGGGGAGCAAACAGG